CAAUACCUGUAUACUAAAAGCCAUUGAAUUUUACACUUUAAAUAGAUGAAUUGUGUGGUGUGUGAAUUAUAUUUCAAUAAAGCUAUUAUUUUUAAAAAGCAUUUUGUUAGUAUUCGCUCACUACUCUCAGCUAAUGAAAUGGAAAAGACUUUAGAGGUACAUAGAAUGGUCAGUGAGAGAUAAAUAUAACAUACAAUGAGUACGUGAUUUACUACUCUGAGGAAAAUUCUCAACAUCUCUUUGAAACUCUAGGUUAGAAUGAAUAGAGAACAAAUUCCCUAUUCCAUGAAUCUGUUAACUUUGUUUAUAGUAUCUUUUGUCAGGCAGAAGUUUUAAAUUUAGUAGUCAAAUUUAUCUUUCCUUGCGCUCAGAAGCCCCUCCAUCCUCCUCCCACUUUGUUUAAUUCUCUGCUGUUGCUGUCUUGAAAGUCUUGCAUUUUCAUUUUUCACUGGAGCACACAAGUAAUGUAGUCAUUCCUGCUUAUAUGUUUUUUAGGCUUAGGUCUUUAAUUACUCUGGAAUAUUUUGGGUGUGUGUGACUUGUGUGAAAAAGAUUUAAUUAUUUUGUAUUUUUUGCAAAUGGACUGCCAGUUAUUUCAAUACCAUUUAUUUAGUAGCUAAUCCAUUUCCCAUGAUUUGGAAUGCCACCUUUCUUAUAUUUUGAAUUCCCUUGUAUUCACUGGACUGCCUCUGGAGUAUCCAUUUCGUUCUGUUAAUCUGGUCAUCUGUUCCUGUACCAGUAUCAUGAUGUUUUAAUUGCUGUGUCUUCACAAUGUUUUUCAAUAUCUGGUAGGAAAAGACUUUUGUUAUUCCUUUCUAAGAUUACUUCAACUAUCUUAUAUUUAUUUGCUUUUCUUUUUGGUAUCAGCCUCUCAAUUCCUUUCAGCUUCCAUUUGGGAUAUUGUUAGAGAUUACAUGAAAUUUAUAAAUUAAUUUUGGGGAAAAUAACAUCUGUAUAAUAUUGAGUCUUCCCAUACAAGGACAAGAUAUAUCUCUUCUUUAAUUACCUUAAGUCCUUCAGUAAAGUUUUAUCUAUUUUUUUUUUCUUAAUGGGCUUGCAUAGCAAGCAUUUUAAAUUGUUGUUUUGAAUGGGAUUUAUUUCUAAGUUUUUCAAAUUGGUGGUUGUUGAUGUAUUUAAGAGCUAAUAAUUUCUGGUUUGGGUUGUGUAUUUGACCUCCUUGCUGACAUCCUUGUAGAUCUAAUGGUUUACCUAUUGAUUCUCUUAGCUCUUUAUAUAGAGAUUUAAAAAUACAGACAAUGUUGUGUCUUUAUUGCUAAUAUUUGUUUUAUUUUGCUUUUUUUUUGUUACUGCUUUGGCUAGAAUAAAUAUUUAUUCUUAUUUUCAAUUGGGGAGCCUCUAGCAUUUCAUCAUUUAAUAAAAAGUUUAUUAUUGGUUUCUCCUAGAUUCUCUUUUUCAGAUUAAAGAAAACUUCUGUUUCUAGCAUGUUAGAGUCUUACCACGAAUGUUUUGUAUUUUAUCAAAUCCUUUUUUCUGUAAUAAUUAACACAAUCAUACAGUUUUUAUCUUUUAGUUUGUUAAUGCAGUAAUGACCUUCAUAGAGUUUUUCUCUUCUAAAACCGCAUUGUAUUUCUGCUUGUUCUUGACAUAUUGAUUAGCCAGGAUUUUAUUUAAGCUUUCUGAAACUGUAUUCAUAAGUUUGAAUGAUGUAUGGUUUUCUUUUUUUGUUUUGUCAUUGUCUGAUUUGGGUAUGAGGGUUAUGAUAAACCAAACAAUACAAUGCAAGCCUCUCUUCCACCCCAAAUAAUGAUUCUGUCUAAAAUAUUAACACUGCUAAGUUUGAGAAACUCUGUGCUAGACUCAAAAUAAACUGAGUGGCUUUCUGUUUUUUUCCGAGUAGUUUAUGUAACAUGGAAUUUACCUAUUCUUUGAGAAUAUGAUAUAAUUCACCUAAAAUGACCUGAGCCUGGUGCCUUUUAAGAGGUAGAUCUUUGAGUACCUUUUCUAUUUAUUCUUGGAUAUUCAUCUCAAUGGUUUUCUUCUUGAGUUAAUUUUGGUAAUUAUAUUUUCCUGGAAAAUUGGUCAUCUUGUUUAUUUUUAAAUUCAUUUAUAUUAAAUUUUAAUGUAUUAGAUGAAUUUUGAGAGUAAUAAUUCUAUCUUCUUUCUUUUUGAACUACAUUUUGCCAAAGAUUUGAUUGGCCGAUGUGUCUUUGAAAUUACCAGGUUUUGGUUUUAUUCAUCAACUCUACUAUUUUCUGUUCCUUGAUUUCUCAUUCAUCUUUUUAUAGCUAUAUUAAUUUCUCUUUUCUAUAUGUUUAUUUUCUUUCUCUUGUGUUUAGUUUUCUGAAUUGAAAAUUUCGGCCACUUUUUAUUGUUCUCAUUUUGUAAACAGGCAAUUAAGGCUAUAAAUUUUCCCGAGUGCUGCUUUUCUAGUAACACAUAGGAGUUAGUGUAUAGGGCACACAUGUCAUUCAUUUUUAAACUGCUGGUGAUUUUAAUUUUCGCUUUUUUACUUUGACCUAAAAAUUUUUGGAAGUGUUUUAAAAUUUCUAUGUGUAUAGAAUUCUUUGAGUUGUUUAGCUCUGUCAGGUAAUUUGGCCUUUAUGUUUUCUGUUUGGGAAUGUUUUUGAGUGCUGCUCUGUGGCCUAAUACAAGAUCAUUUGUUGUGAAUGUACAAAAAAUUACAGCUUGGUAAAUUAGUAUUCAGAUGUUAUCAUCUGCUGAGAUCCUGGUGCCUGUCAUGGCCUAAGCAAGAAGCCAUCUAUAUAGAUGGGGUUCUAUGUAACAGAUGAUAGAAACCUAAGGACUUGUGGUUACAAACGUAUCAUCCAUUCAUUUAAAGUAAACAACCAAACACUGCAUGUUCUCGCUCAUAAGUGGGAGCUGAACAAUGAGAAAACAUGGACACGGAGAGAAACAUCACACACUGGGGCCUGUCAGGGUGGGAGGCAAGGAGAGGGGAGAGCAUUAGGACAAAUAACUAAUGCAUACGGGGAUUAAAACCUAGAUGACUAGUUAAUAGGUACAGCAGGCCACCAUGGCACAUGAAUACCUAUGUAACAAACCUACACGUUCUGCACAUGUAUCCCAAAACUUAAAGUUAAAAAAAAAACCUGUUCUAAUCACUUUUAGGAACCUGUUUAACUCAAGGAAAUACAAAUACAAUUAAAGAUGCCUUUAUGCAUUAUUUGUAAUAGUGAAAAAUCAGAAAUAAAUGACUGUUGGUUAAAUAUAUGAAUAAGUAUGUGGGAUUUAAAAAAUCAUAUUUUUAAAAGAAUAUUUAAGAUUAUGGGUGAAAUUAUUCCUGGCAUCUUUAUUUAAUAAAGCAGGAUACAAAUUUGCAUAUUAUAUGAUCACAUGUUGAGAGAAACAAUACAUGAACAUUUAAGUUUUUGCAUACAAUAAAUGAUUUUUUUUUAGUUAUUUCUUGAGUUAUAUAAAAAUUUUAUUCUUUACAUUUGUAUUUCUGAAUUUUUGCAAUGAUUAUUUACCUUAUAACAAAAUGUAUGUAGUUGGAAGCAUCUUUUGCCAAAUAAUUUCUUUUGUUUAGCUUGUAUAUAAUGCAGAACUGCAACUUACGGAGGGCAGUUUAACGGGAUAUGUUAAAAUUUUGAGUAUUUAUAUUCUCUCACCCAAAAAGUUCACUGCUAUGAAUUGAUCAGAAGUUUCUUUAAAAGUACAGAAUAAUUUUACUAUCUUGUUUAUAAUAGUGAAAGAUUCAAAAAUAAUUCUAAUACUCAGUAUAAACCUAGUUAAAUAAAUUGCGUUACACAUAUAAAAAGAGAGUAUUAAAGAAGUCUUAAAAAUAAAUUGGAGCUUUAUGGGUAAUGAUGUAAAACCUGACCAAGACAUAUUAUGUGACUGAAACAAGUUGCAAAACACUAUGCAUAGUAUGAUUCCAUUUUUGUAAAAAUGGGGUGAUUACAUAUACAUACAUCACUUGUAAUGCAUUACAAUUUUCUGGAGUAAUAUAUAGGAAAUAGCAGUACCUACCCGUGAGCAUAGGGCUAAAUAUGUAUGAUUUCACUUCAUGUAUUUCUAUCAUUUUGAAUUUUUACAGAAAACAUGAAUUACUUUAAACAAAUUUUAAUGAAAAUAAAAUUUAAAAAGUAGAAAAUUAUAUCAUUGUAAUACUAUUUAUGUAUUUCCUUUUCAUGUGUGGUAGUAGGCCUACCUGUGUAAUAAGUAUGUAAAAUAGAUAGGUUCACUGCCCUUGAAGAGCUUGUUCUCUAAAAUUCUGUUUUUCAUGGAUAUAUGACAUUAAUGUUAUUAUUUUUGUGAUGGUUACAUGAUAGUUUGCUAGAGGUCAAAUGAUUAGAAUUUAGUCAUUUCUGACUUCAGUGAACUAAUGCUAAUUUAACUGAAAUUUAUCAUGUACAAGUUGGAUAAUCUCCAAGUGGGUAUUACUGGUCUCAGAAAGGAAUUAGAUGGAUUAAAAUGAGUACUAUUAGUCCAGACUUUUUAAAAGUCCAUAGUUUUUUUUUAAUCAAACAUAAUAGAACUUGUUUGCAUCAUUGUAUCUUUUAUAGUAGACAUAUAAUUAAGUUUUAGGAGAAUUUGUUGUUUAUGAUAGGUGAUAAGUAUCAUAUAAAAUUAAAAAGUUACAGUGUAAAUAUUUCAAUUUUGAGUUGAUUUGAUGUAACUGAUGAACAUUAAAAUACUUGCCAUUUCACACAAUAUUAAGAUAUAAUUUUUACUCAGUGACAUUUGCAUUUUUUGAGCAGUACUGUUAUCCUUUAUUUAAUGUUUAGCUACCGUAAAACUUUAAGUGAAAGCCAAGCUUAGAAAAGGAUGAACAAUGAACCAUUAAUUGUAGAGAAUUAUGAAACUGGAUUUUUAAAACAAUGUUUGUUAAAAUGUCAUAUUAAUUCAGCUUAUAUACCCAGCAUUUGCAUGUUUCCUCAUUUUAUUUCUGGUGUCUGAAAAUGUAUUUUGUAUACACUAAAUGUAGGUGGGUACAACAUUCAAAAUAAUACUGUCAUAAACUAAAAGUGCAAGCAAAAAAAAUUAUCUGCUAUUUAACUUAGUAGAUAGGUUAAAACCAUUGUUUAGGAUCAUUGGUAUAUAAUUGAAAUGAGUGACAUUUUGAAUGAUAAUACGAAUAUUAGAAAGAAGAAAAAAAUAAAACUAAUGGACCAAACUACUAUGUCAAACUCAUAUAUAAAAAAUAAAGUUACUGUGGGUAAUUAAAAACCUUCCACUUUUACUCCCUUUUCAAUUUAUGCAUUAGAUUUUUUCUGACUCUCUGCUACACCUGGAAGCUCUACAUUGGUAUUUGUUUUCUAUAAGUAUUUGUUUAAUGAACUGUUGAGAAUGCACACCUGCUCAUCUGUGUCAGGCGCAAUAAUGAAGGCUGGGUUUGCAGAACUGUCAGAUCAGGCUGCUGGUUCCCUUUGGCUUUGCCCUCCAUGGAGCUGGAUCCUAUGACUGUUGCAGAUCUUCCCCUCUCACUCGUGCCCCUCUUUUGGGAUUAGAUAUCUUUGCACUCUGUUUUCCACUACCAAAGCUACAUUUCUACACUCUGCCAUCAACACCUUAGACCAUCUUUGGCUUUUUAUUAUCCUUCCAGCUUCCCAACCAAUAGUGGACAGAGAAAAGAGUCCCCCAACUCUGCUCCAGUGGGAACCCCUUCAUCUGUGCUUGACAACAUCACCUUUGUCCACUGCAGCUCCUGCUUCCACAUUUAUCCGCACUCUCCAAGAGCUCUGGCCCGUUCCCUCUGAAUUCUACCAUACUCCCAGGCUUCCCUGUCGUAAUAUCAUGUGCCUCUUGCCUUUUAGUCUCUUUUGCUCCUUUUUACUACAAAACAUGUUGAACAAGUGGUCCAUGCCCCAUCUUUGUGUCUCUCCAAACCGAUUUUCAUUUUCACCCGUCUACUGAACAACUUUCUUCAGUGUUACCCUUGAUCUUUAUUUUACGAAAUUCAAAGAUCUUUUGUUCAUUAUUUCUUGUGUUGGCCUUUCCAUAGCGCUAAUGUUGCUGACUUUGCUCUUGGAGAAUUUUUUGUCCUUGUGGCUUGUGUCUCAUUAUCUGUCUUAAUUCUCUUCCACCUUUCAGUCUUCCUAGCCUUCCUUGCUGGUUACUUUUCCUUCUCUCUGACUGUGCAUGCAUCACAGACCUCCUCUCCUGUUCAUGCUCUUUUCUAUCUAUAUUUUCCUCCUUGGAGAGUUCUCACAAGCAGCAAAUAUCACCUCUACACUGAUGGCUACCUCAUCGUAGUCCUAUCCUCGAACACUAACCUGGCCACCAGUACCAUAUCCCAUCUGUGUUCAGAACUUUUUCAACCAGAUGUCCCACUACAAUGUCUCUUCUUGCUGAGAACAUGUAAUUCUUUAGGUGUAAAGAAGAUCAUCUCCAUUAAACUGGUUCAUUCAUCAAAAUUCUUUGCUUCAGCUUAUCACCACCAUCAUUCAGAUCUCUGUAAAGAAGACAACCUUUAGUAGUGAUUUAGCUGCAAACCUAGAAGCCUCACAUAAAUCAACUCACUCCAUUGUCCUUUAUGGAGUCACAUGCAGAUUUAUGUCAGCUCCCCCAGCACAGUGCCACCACACUGGUCCAUCUUACCUUGCUGGCCUUCUGCCUGUUAAACUCUUCCAGUCCCUCAGGGUCAUCACUGCCUGGUGACACUUUCUAAACACUAUAGGCAAGCAGUAAUCAUCCAGCUGUUCCUUAUGUGCUUUAACAUUUGUUUAGCUCCUGGAUCUGACUCUCAGGGCCCUCGGGAGUUUAUCCCUCCCUCUGUCUCCCACCUACUCAGCAUCACUUGACAUUUGAUCAGCUGCCUUUUCUCUCUUUUGAUAAUUUUAGUUACAGAGCCCUUUUUGUUUGAAUUGCCUGCUUCACUCCAUUCUUAGUCCUACUCACCUUUCAAGGACCACUAAAAUAUCUCUGAGUCAACAAUACCUCAAGUCAGUACUGUAAUUGAGUAUCUUUCAUUUAUAUCUUAUAUGGGGAUAAAUAAAUGGCCCCCUCACCUUCCCUCAGAAGUCUUUCCAUAUACUACCACUUCCUAAAAAAUAUUACAGUCUGCAUUUUCCUAACUGUACUGUAAACUUAAGGGUGAGAAUAUAUUUCAUCCCCUUCUCUGUCUCCCCUGGUUACCGAUAAUAUACAAAGAAUAAUUUCAAUGAGUACUUCAUGGUUAUUAAUUGUUGAAUAUCACAGUUUAAAUACUUAGCAAGUUGAGAAAAUAUAAGGAAAAUAAGAUUUCAAACAAUCUAAUUAUCUAUAUUCAGCAAAACACCAAAAGUUUCUGUUAGAUAUGACAGGGCAUCAUGUUCAUGGAAUUAAAACAGUGUUUUCUAAAUGAAAUAUAUACUGUUGAGGUAUAUGUCCUCAUGUUUCAGAGGAAACAGAGAGCCCACACUUUCCUUAGGAAUACCUUCUAAUAUUUAAAGCAUAACACUACUUUGUCGUGUACUCAUGAUAUUUAGUUUAUACCAUUAACAAAUGUUGAGACUGGGGCUAGAAGCUGAAGUUCUUAUAUCUAAUCGAACGACCUUUCCACUGCACAUUUCUGUAUAUUCAGUUCACUCAUUUGUUUAUUAAGCACACACUUAUUGAGCACCUACUAUGUGUCAGGCCAUGCUAGGCAAUGAGAUAGAGCCUUCAAAGAGCUUAGUCUGCCGAUGGAGACUGACAAGGCAACAUAAAAGUUGAAAUGCAGUGGUACAUGAAGUGGAGGAAAACUUUAUCUUAAUGUUUUGUUUUUAGACAAGGGCUUGAGGAAGUUUAAUGCUGAGGGAAAGUGCUAAUAAGGGAGAGGCUAAAGAUUCCGUCUCAAAAAAAAAA
This is a long non-coding RNA of Sapajus apella (tufted capuchin), 7749 nucleotides long. RefSeq lists it as uncharacterized. The transcript has 2 exons. The record is from RefSeq and is a predicted model, not a curated record. Lineage: Eukaryota; Metazoa; Chordata; Mammalia; Primates; Cebidae.